RNAcentral lists this long non-coding RNA (307 nucleotides) under Elaeis guineensis (African oil palm). RNAcentral's name for it is "long non-coding RNA (EGUI_LNC045924)". Lineage: Eukaryota; Viridiplantae; Streptophyta; Magnoliopsida; Arecales; Arecaceae. The record is from RNAcentral.
UUGGGUGAGCAUCCUAGAAAUCUGUUCUAGGAUUUUUGGAUGAGGAAAAAGUCAAAAAAGAAGGGAGUUCUCCCUCCAUCUUUCCAUCACCAGUUCUUCUUUAUUCUUUCUAUGGUUUCGAAGGAGUCCGAGAGAUCCAUAGGAGGAGAAGAUCAACCAUCUAUAAAUUUCUACGCAAGCUAGCACUCUCGUAGAAGCAGAUCAGCACGGUGCUUCGUGUGGAUCACCUGUAGAGGCCGGACAUCCUAUGCAGCUACGAGCAACCAGUAAGACCAUAAUUUUCAGAUGUAGAGGUUUGCUACCCGUG